AGAGUUUGAUCAUGGCUCAGGAUGAACGCUAGCGGCAGGCUUAACACAUGACAAGUCGAGGGGCAGCAUAAUGGAUAGCAAUAUCUAUGGUGGCGACCGGCGCACGGGUGCGUAACGCGUAUGCAACCUACCUUUAACGAGGGGGAUAACACUGAGAAAUUGGUACUAAUACCCCAUAAUAUCAUAGAAGGCAUCUUUUAUGGUUGAAAAUUACCGAUGGUUAGAGAUGGGCAUGCGUUGUAUUAGCUAGUUGGGUGGGGUAACGGCUCACCAAGGCGACGAUACAUAGGGGGACUGAGAGGUUAACCCCCCACCACUGGUACUGAGACACGGACCAGACUCCUACGGGAGGCAGCA
RNAcentral lists this ribosomal RNA (357 nucleotides) under uncultured bacterium. RNAcentral describes it as "bacterial SSU rRNA". It matches the Rfam family "Bacterial small subunit ribosomal RNA", at positions 8 to 353 of the family's 1533-position model. The record is from RNAcentral.